Molecule: ribosomal RNA, 1000 nt
Filed under: Pediococcus pentosaceus
Lineage: Bacteria; Bacillati; Bacillota; Bacilli; Lactobacillales; Lactobacillaceae
Description: bacterial SSU rRNA
Rfam family: Bacterial small subunit ribosomal RNA
Source: RNAcentral
GUAUUUAACCAGAAAGCCCCGGCUAACUACGUGCCAGCAGCCGCGGUAAUACGUAGGUGGCAAGCGUUAUCCGGAUUUAUUGGGCGUAAAGCGAGGGCAGGCGGUCUUUUAAGUCUAAAGUGAAAGCCUUCGGCUCAACCGAAGAAGUGCAUUGGAAACUGGGAGACUUGAGUGCAGAAGAGGACAGUGGAACUCCAUGUGUAGCGGUGAAAUGCGUAGAUAUAUGGAAGAACCCCAGUGGCGAAGGCGGCUGUCUGGUCUGCAACUGACGCUGAGGCUCGAAAGCAUGGGUAGCGAACAGGAUUAGAUACCCUGGUAGUCCAUGCCGUAAACGAUGAUUACUAAGUGUUGGAGGGUUUCCGCCCUUCAGUGCUGCAGCUAACGCAUUAAGUAAUCCGCCUGGGGAGUACGACCGCAAGGUUGAAACUCAAAAGAAUUGACGGGGGCCCGCACAAGCGGUGGAGCAUGUGGUUUAAUUCGAAGCUACGCGAAGAACCUUACCAGGUCUUGACAUCUUCUGACAGUCUAAGAGAUUAGAGGUUUCCUUCGGGGACAGAAUGACAGGUGGUGCAUGGUUGUCGUCAGCUCGUGUCGUGAGAUGUUGGGUUAAGUCCCGCAACGAGCGCAACCCUUAUUACUAGUUGCCAGCAUUAAGUUGGGCACUCUAGUGAGACUGCCGGUGACAAACCGGAGGAAGGUGGGGACGACGUCAAAUCAUCAUGCCCCUUAUGACCUGGGCUACACACGUGCUACAAUGGAUGGUACAACGAGUCGCGAGACCGCGAGGUUAAGCUAAUCUCUUAAAACCAUUCUCAGUUCGGACUGUAGGCUGCAACUCGCCUACACGAAGUCGGAAUCGCUAGUAAUCGCGGAUCAGCAUGCCGCGGUGAAUACGUUCCCGGGCCUUGUACACACCGCCCGUCACACCAUGAGAGUUUGUAACACCCAAAGCCGGUGGGGUAACCUUUAGGAGCUAGCCGUCUAAGGUGACAGAGAUGGG